UACGGAGGGUGCAAGCGUUAUCCGGAUUUACUGGGCUUAAAGGGUGCGUAGGUGGUCAAGUAAGUCAGUGGUGAAAUCUCCGGGCUUAACCCGGAAACUGCCAUUGAUACUAUUUGUCUUGAAUACUGUGGAGGUCAGCGGAAUAUGUCAUGUAGCGGUGAAAUGCGUAGAUAUGACAUAGAACACCAAUGGCGAAGGCAGCUGGCUACACAAAUAUUGACACUGAGGCACGAAAGCGUGGGGAUCAAACAGG
Molecule: ribosomal RNA, 253 nt
Filed under: uncultured bacterium
Lineage: Bacteria
Description: partial 16S ribosomal RNA
Rfam family: Bacterial small subunit ribosomal RNA
Source: RNAcentral